GCAGUCGAACGCGAACGUUUCCUUCGGGGAACUAGUAGAGUGGCGCACGGGUGAGUAACGCGUAAGUAAUCUACCCUCGCAUUCGGGAUACCCACCGAAAGGUGUGCUAAUACCGGAUACGUCUCAUUUAAUAUCUUUUGAUGAGAGAAAGGUGGCCUCUUGAAUCAAAGCUACUGUGCGGGGAGGAGCUUGCGUACCAUUAGCUAGUUGGUAGGGUAACGGCCUACCAAGGCGAUGAUGGUUAGCGGGUCUGAGAGGAUGAUCCGCCACACUGGAACUGGAACACGGACCAGACUCCUACGGGAGGCAGCAGUGAGGAAUAUUGCGCAAUGGGGGCAACCCUGACGCAGCGACGCCGCGUGGAUGAUGAAGGCCUUCGGGUUGUAAAAUCCUGUCAGAUGGGAAGAAGCGUGUAUCACCCAAUACGUGAUACAUUUGACGGUACCAUCAAAGGAAGCACCGGCUAACUCCGUGCCAGCAGCCGCGGUAAUACGGAGGGUGCAAGCGUUGUUCGGAAUUACUGGGCGUAAAGCGCGCGUAGGCGGCUAAAUAAGUCAGAUGUGAAAGCCCGCGGCUCAACCGUGGAAGAGCAUUUGAAACUGUCUAGCUUGAGUACUGGAGGGGGUAGUGGAAUUCCCGGUGUAGAGGUGAAAUUCGUAGAUAUCGGGAGGAAUACCGGUGGCGAAGGCGACUACCUGGCCAGAUACUGACGCUGAGGUGCGAAAGCGUGGGGAGCAAAACAGGAUUAGAUACCCUGGUAGUCCACGCCGUAAACGAUGUCAACUAGGUGUUGGG
Molecule: ribosomal RNA, 795 nt
Filed under: uncultured Desulfobacteraceae bacterium
Lineage: Bacteria; Pseudomonadati; Thermodesulfobacteriota; Desulfobacteria; Desulfobacterales; Desulfobacteraceae
Description: bacterial SSU rRNA
Rfam family: Bacterial small subunit ribosomal RNA
Source: RNAcentral